RNAcentral lists this ribosomal RNA (460 nucleotides) under uncultured bacterium. RNAcentral's name for it is "partial 16S ribosomal RNA". It matches the Rfam family "Bacterial small subunit ribosomal RNA", at positions 338 to 795 of the family's 1533-position model. The record is from RNAcentral.
CCUACGGGUGGCAGCAGUGAGGAAUAUUGGUCAAUGGACGAGAGUCUGAACCAGCCAAGUAGCGUGAAGGAUGACUGCCCUAUGGGUUGUAAACUUCUUUUAUAUGGGAAUAAAACGUUCCACGUGUGGGAUUUUGUAUGUACCAUAUGAAUAAGGAUCGGCUAACUCCGUGCCAGCAGCCGCGGUAAUACGGAGGAUCCGAGCGUUAUCCGGAUUUAUUGGGUUUAAAGGGAGCGUAGGUGGAUUGUUAAGUCAGUUGUGAAAGUUUGCGGCUCAACCGUAAAAUUGCAGUUGAAACUGGCAGUCUUGAGUACAGUAGAGGUGGGCGGAAUUCGUGGUGUAGCGGUGAAAUGCUUAGAUAUCACGAAGAACUCCGGUUGCGAAGGCAGUUCACUGGACUGCAACUGACACUGAGGCUCGAAAGUGUGGGUAUCAAACAGGAUUAGAUACCCUUGUAGUC